CCUCCCUUCAAACAGCUGGACAGUGGACACGCCUGUGUUUCUCCGGACACUCCUAGGAAACGGUCAGUUGACACCCACAAAUGGCCUCUUCCUGUCAAUCUUCUUGCGAUCACCGGUGCAAUCACUUUCUUCGGCCAUCUUGAUGCUGUCCUGCACUCCCCGUUGCUGGGGGGACCUUGUGCCUGCGCAUUGCGGUCCAUACGCAUGCAUAGUUCAUACCCGAUUGCACAGCAGCGAUCGGGUCUGAAUUACCCCCUAAGAGUGACAGCUUCAGAAAAAUGGCAGCAAAGAUGGAUAUUAUCCAGGUCUGUGCCCAAAGCAUGGCCCGCUUUUACAUCAGCGUUGUCCUGGCAUUUGACGAAGUUGAAGACAGCAUCAGGAGAGUCCAAUACCAUCGCAGACUGAAAAAGAUGGAGAAAAAGAGAAAUAAGACCAAGACUCCACACCUCUCAUGGGUCAACUCAUGGAGCAAUGACAACGCCUAUGAGAGGUUGAUUUAAAAAAAAAAAACCAUCAAAACAAAAAACCAUCAAAAAAAAAACCAGCAUCAAAAAAUAAAAAUAAAAUAUCAAUGGGGGGGUAUUGUCGUACUGAGGUGGAUGUUGAGGGCAGCUGUGAUCAUGUGGUAAUUUUCUUGACUCUAGGAGAGGCUGGUAGACUGGAGGAAGUGUUGGUACUUACCUUAGGUGUAACUGUGGGGAGUAAACCCUUUGUUACCCAUUUAUUUGGUAACUCCCCUCAGCUACACCUAAGGCAAGUACCAACACUUCCUCCAGUCUGCCAUAUUUCUUCUGGCCUUUCAUAGAGCUUUACCACAUGAUCACAGCUGACCUCAACAUGCAUCUCAGUACGGCAAUUCCCCUCCCAUUGACUCACAUGGAUUGUAAUGUCAUUCUGACCUGGGUGCCUGUGGCUGGGCAAUGUCAGGGGAAACAACACAUUCAGCCUGCCCAAAGACCAUCACUUCUUUGCCACUUAUCCAGCUGAGGAAUGUGAGCAAGCCACCAGGACCAGUUGCAGCUGCUUCAAAUCUGAGGCCUUUCCACCUCCCGCAGCUGAAACCAGGAAGUCCAUCUGAUGCUCCGGCACUCAACAUGAAGACCAGCACCCCCUGAGGUUUCAUGUCAUCAAGAAACUGUGACAUACAUGAACCAGGGCAAUUAUUACAUCAUUCCAAUUCAUGCAACAAAAAAAUAUAUAGAAAAAUAAAACAAAAUAAAACUCUG
Long non-coding RNA from Pseudophryne corroboree (corroboree frog), 1226 nucleotides. RefSeq lists it as uncharacterized. The transcript has 5 exons. NCBI's taxonomy places the organism in Eukaryota, Metazoa, Chordata, Amphibia, Anura, Myobatrachidae. The record is from RefSeq and is a predicted model, not a curated record.